UCGGCUGAUGAGGAAAGUCCGAGCUCCAUAGGGCAGGAUGCUGGAUAACGUCCAGUGAGGGUGACCUCAAGGAAAGUACCACAGAAAACAAACCGCCGCUUUUGCGGUAAGGAUGAAACGGUGCGGUAAGAGCGCACCAGCGGCCGGGUGACCGGUCGGCUUGGCAAACCCCAUCCGGAGCAAGACCAAAUAGGGAAGGGAUGAAGCGGCCCGCCAACCUUCCGGGUAGUGUCGCUGGAGCCUGGGAGCAAUUCCAGGACUAGAUAAAUGGUGGUUCUCGACAGAACUCGGCUUACUGCG
RNAcentral lists this RNase P RNA (300 nucleotides) under uncultured Acidaminococcus sp. RNAcentral's name for it is "Bacterial RNase P class A". It matches the Rfam family "Bacterial RNase P class A", at positions 34 to 354 of the family's 367-position model. From Rfam's summary of the family: Ribonuclease P (RNase P) is a ubiquitous endoribonuclease, found in archaea, bacteria and eukarya as well as chloroplasts and mitochondria. Its best characterised activity is the generation of mature 5'-ends of tRNAs by cleaving the 5'-leader elements of precursor-tRNAs. The record is from RNAcentral. Lineage: Bacteria; Bacillati; Bacillota; Negativicutes; Acidaminococcales; Acidaminococcaceae.